GACUCCGUAGUGUAGCGGUUAUCACGUUCGCCUAACACGCGAAAGGUCCCCGGUUCGAACCCGGGUGGAAUCA
Molecule: transfer RNA, 73 nt
Filed under: Patiria miniata (bat star)
Lineage: Eukaryota; Metazoa; Echinodermata; Asteroidea; Valvatida; Asterinidae
Description: tRNA-Val
Rfam family: tRNA
About the family: Transfer RNA (tRNA) molecules are approximately 80 nucleotides in length. Their secondary structure includes four short double-helical elements and three loops (D, anti-codon, and T loops).
Source: Rfam by way of RNAcentral